This 245-nucleotide ribosomal RNA is filed under the name uncultured bacterium. RNAcentral describes it as "partial 16S ribosomal RNA". It matches the Rfam family "Bacterial small subunit ribosomal RNA", at positions 796 to 1041 of the family's 1533-position model. The record is from RNAcentral.
CUGGCUGUAAACGGUGAGCACUAGGUGUGGGGGGUAUCGACCCCCCCCGUGCCGCAGCUAACGCAAUAAGUGCUCCGCCUGGGGAGUACGGCCGCAAGGUUGAAACUCAAAGAAAUUGACGGGGGCCCGCACAAGCGGUGGAGCAUGUGGCUUAAUUCGAUGAUACGCGAGAAACCUUACCCAGGCUUGAACUGCAGGGUAAUCCCCUGGAAACAGGGGGUCCUUCGGGGACCCUGUAGAGGUGC